This is a transfer RNA of Felis catus (domestic cat), 85 nucleotides long. It matches the Rfam family "tRNA". From Rfam's summary of the family: Transfer RNA (tRNA) molecules are approximately 80 nucleotides in length. Their secondary structure includes four short double-helical elements and three loops (D, anti-codon, and T loops). The record is from Rfam. NCBI's taxonomy places the organism in Eukaryota, Metazoa, Chordata, Mammalia, Carnivora, Felidae.
GCCUGGGUGGCUCAGUCGGUUGAGCAUCUGACUUCGGCUCAGGUCAUGAUCUCGCAGUUUGUGAGUUUGAGCCCCACGUCUGGCU